AUUCCAUACCUGUGUUCCCCUCACUGGGAAUGUGCUCAUUUCAUCUGAUGAUAAAAUGGAUUUUCUUCAAGAAAUGGGCUUCUGUUUGCACCUUAUCAAGAACAGAUUGUCUUCUCUUAAAUUGCUUGCCAAUAGCACCAUAAACCCACUACAUGCUACUCUAAUAAUCCUGCUGUAAUUGGAUGAUUAUUACUCUAUUAAUGAAGACACCCUACACUUGAACUAAAAGACAUGGACAAAUAAAAGACUAAAUGACUGUGGGACCAGACAGGACAGAAACCUCUAUCAUCAAGUAAUGAAGAAAAACUAAGAAGAUUUAAGGAGAGUAAAUUUUGAUCAAAUAUGUUCUAUAUGCCGGCAUAGAUUUCUCAGGUAAUAAAUAAAAAAUGAAAA
This is a non-coding RNA of Myodes glareolus (Bank vole), 393 nucleotides long. NCBI's taxonomy places the organism in Eukaryota, Metazoa, Chordata, Mammalia, Rodentia, Cricetidae. The record is from RefSeq and is a predicted model, not a curated record.